Long non-coding RNA from Lates calcarifer (barramundi perch), 297 nucleotides. RefSeq lists it as uncharacterized. The record is from RefSeq and is a predicted model, not a curated record. NCBI's taxonomy places the organism in Eukaryota, Metazoa, Chordata, Actinopteri, Centropomidae. The transcript is spliced from 3 exons.
GAGGAGUAAAAAAGGAGAAGGAAGUAACACAAGUAGAGGAAUUCUGAGACAGACGAGCGUCAGGGAGUAAAACAGCUGAGACAGUCACAGAGCUGCGUUCCUGGAAAGCUGACAGGCAGAUUGAUCGCUCAGACGUGCAGCAAAACAUGGCCUCCGUCGCUCCCUUCGGCCGCAGACAGUGGGCGUCCCAGUCACUGAGGGUCACCGCCAAAGAGCUGUCCAUUGUCUCCGCACGGGGCAAAAACACCGCCAUCGCCGAGCGCUUCUCCAAGUACCAGAUGGCAGCAGAGGAGGGGC